RNAcentral lists this ribosomal RNA (841 nucleotides) under uncultured bacterium. Its description in RNAcentral is "bacterial SSU rRNA". It matches the Rfam family "Bacterial small subunit ribosomal RNA", at positions 75 to 921 of the family's 1533-position model. The record is from RNAcentral.
UAUCUUCGGAUAGAGAGACCGGCGCACGGGUGCGUAACGCGUAUGCAAUCUACCUUUUACAGAGGGAUAGCCCAGAGAAAUUUGGAUUAAUACCUCAUAGUAUAAUGACUCGGCAUCGAGAUAUUAUUAAAGUCACAACGGUAAAAGAUGAGCAUGCGUCCCAUUAGCUAGUUGGUAAGGUAACGGCUUACCAAGGCUACGAUGGGUAGGGGUCCUGAGAGGGAGAUCCCCCACACUGGUACUGAGACACGGACCAGACUCCUACGGGAGGCAGCAGUGAGGAAUAUUGGACAAUGGGCGCAAGCCUGAUCCAGCCAUGCCGCGUGCAGGAUGACGGUCCUAUGGAUUGUAAACUGCUUUUAUACGAGAAGAAACACUCCUUCGUGAAGGAGCUUGACGGUAUCGUAAGAAUAAGGAUCGGCUAACUCCGUGCCAGCAGCCGCGGUAAUACGGAGGAUCCAAGCGUUAUCCGGAAUCAUUGGGUUUAAAGGGUCCGUAGGCGGUUUAAUAAGUCAGUGGUGAAAGCCCAUCGCUCAACGGUGGAACGGCCAUUGAUACUGUUAAACUUGAAUUAUUAGGAAGUAACUAGAAUAUGUAGUGUAGCGGUGAAAUGCUUAGAGAUUACAUGGAAUACCAAUUGCGAAGGCAGGUUACUACUAAUGGAUUGACGCUGAUGGACGACAGCGUGGGUAGCGAACAGGAUUAGAUACCCUGGUAGUCCACGCCGUANACGAUGGAUACUAGCUGUUGGAAGCAAUUUCAGUGGCUAAGCGAAAGUGAUAAGUAUCCCACCUGGGGAGUACGUUUCGCAGAAUGAAACUCAAAGGAAUUGACGGGGGCC